Long non-coding RNA from Lolium perenne, 1194 nucleotides. RefSeq lists it as uncharacterized. Lineage: Eukaryota; Viridiplantae; Streptophyta; Magnoliopsida; Poales; Poaceae. The record is from RefSeq and is a predicted model, not a curated record.
CACCGCAUCUCCACCACCUUCCCUCCCCCCUUUAUCUUUCGGCCUCCAGAAAACCCUAGCCCCCUCUCAUCUUCCUCCCUCGCGCCGCCACCAUCUCUCUUCCCCUUUCCUUCUUCUCUCUCAUGAACAGAAACACGCAAGGAAAACCACCAAUGACCGUCCCCACAGUACUCUCGUCGCCCCGCCGUUCCGUUCGACCCCGCGCCAAGCCAAGAGUACCAGGAGAUGCGGCUCGUUCUCCUCUUCAACCUGGUACAAGGAAUCGAGCCGGGACGCUCCCAGUCGCCACCAAGCUCGCCGUUUCUCCUUCGACUCCUGCAGCGUUUAUCGUUGAUUUCGGCCACUCGGCUCCUCCCUCGGCGACCUUGAACACACCACCGUGCUCCUGGAGCUCAUCGCCGGCGACACUCCGGUGCCUCCCCGGCCAACCCACCAACCUCAUCUGGACCGCCAUGCCAAGGCGCACCCCCGACGCCAACUCCCCCGCCUCGGUUCGCCCUGAAUCGCCGGAUUCGUGGUCGACUAGAUCUCAGUCCGCCAUGGCCGUUCUGGCCCCAAGCUCCGCUUUGCCUGCUUUCAAAAGAAGGUGUCCCAGAUAACAUACAAAAAUCUUGCAACAGCGCAGUGGCGGGUCCCUUUCAUCAGCCUCACACGGAGCCACGUCUGCGUCUCUGCCUCGUCAGCGCCUCGUCACCUCCCUGGUCCCGCGGGUCAGCCGCACGGGCUAGCUUCUCUUCGGUAUAAAUUGUUUCCCUCUUUUCCCUGUUUUUCUGAAAAUGGCAGGAAAUGUAUAAAUCUUGCUAAAAUCAUAUCUUUAAAUCUAUAACUCCAAAUGCAGAGUGUUUUAUAUGAAAAUUGAUCAGAAAAAUGAGAGGAACAUUAAUAUGCCAUCCAUUCAUCUGUUUGCAUCUCGCAUCAUGUCGUGACGUGAUAGUUUGUGCAUUUCACCUCACAUAUAUGCGUAGUAUUUUGGAUCUCCAACUUUGGUUUUCCCCGCUCCGUUUAACUUUGAAGUAGCGCACCCUUGCCAUGAUAUGACAUGCUAAUCAACCAUUAACUUUGUCGGUAGAAAUGCAACUCCAACCUUAAUUUGAUUGUCCGGGGUUCCGACUCCGAUUAAUAUGGAUAAGUUGCACUGCACCAUCGUUGCCAUGCCAUGCAUAUCAACUUGAGCAUGCCGGUUCUUCUUCUGUA